RNAcentral lists this ribosomal RNA (659 nucleotides) under bacterium sp. R2A-32. RNAcentral describes it as "bacterial SSU rRNA". It matches the Rfam family "Bacterial small subunit ribosomal RNA", at positions 781 to 1439 of the family's 1533-position model. The record is from RNAcentral.
GAUACCCUGGUAGUCCACGCUGUAAACGAUGUCGACUUGGAGGUUGUGCCCUUGAGGCGUGGCUUCCGGAGCUAACGCGUUAAGUCGACCGCCUGGGGAGUACGGCCGCAAGGUUAAAACUCAAAUGAAUUGACGGGGGCCCGCACAAGCGGUGGAGCAUGUGGUUUAAUUCGAUGCAACGCGAAGAACCUUACCUACUCUUGACAUCCACGGAAUUCGCCAGAGAUGGCUUAGUGCCUUCGGGAACCGUGAGACAGGUGCUGCAUGGCUGUCGUCAGCUCGUGUUGUGAAAUGUUGGGUUAAGUCCCGCAACGAGCGCAACCCUUAUCCUUUGUUGCCAGCACGUAAUGGUGGGAACUCAAAGGAGACUGCCGGUGAUAAACCGGAGGAAGGUGGGGAUGACGUCAAGUCAUCAUGGCCCUUACGAGUAGGGCUACACACGUGCUACAAUGGCAUAUACAAAGAGAAGCGAACUCGCGAGAGCAAGCGGACCUCAUAAAGUAUGUCGUAGUCCGGAUUGGAGUCUGCAACUCGACUCCAUGAAGUCGGAAUCGCUAGUAAUCGUAGAUCAGAAUGCUACGGUGAAUACGUUCCCGGGCCUUGUACACACCGCCCGUCACACCAUGGGAGUGGGUUGCAAAAGAAGUAGGUAGCUUAAC